RNAcentral lists this ribosomal RNA (410 nucleotides) under uncultured bacterium. Its description in RNAcentral is "bacterial SSU rRNA". It matches the Rfam family "Bacterial small subunit ribosomal RNA", at positions 28 to 439 of the family's 1533-position model. The record is from RNAcentral.
GAUGAACGCUAGCGGCAGGCUUAACACAUGCAAGUCGAGGGGUAUUGGUUUUCGGACCAAGAGACCGGCGCACGGGUGCGUAACGCGUAUGCAAUCUACCUUUUGCAGAGGGAUAGCCCCAGAGAAAUUUGGAUUAAUACCUCAUAGUAUAGUACUUUGGCAUCAAGGAACUAUUAAAGUCACAACGGCAAAAGAUGAGCAUGCGUCCCAUUAGCUAGUUGGUAAGGUAACGGCUUACCAAGGCUACGAUGGGUAGGGGUCCUGAGAGGGAGAUCCCCCACACUGGUACUGAGACACGGACCAGACUCCUACGGGAGGCAGCAGUGAGGAAUAUUGGACAAUGGGCGCAAGCCUGAUCCAGCCAUGCCGCGUGCAGGAUGACGGUCCUAUGGAUUGUAAACUGCUUUUUA